This 484-nucleotide ribosomal RNA is filed under the name uncultured bacterium. Its description in RNAcentral is "partial 16S ribosomal RNA". It matches the Rfam family "Bacterial small subunit ribosomal RNA", at positions 30 to 507 of the family's 1533-position model. The record is from RNAcentral.
AUUGAACGCUGGCGGCAGGCCUAACACAUGCAAGUCGAGCGGAUGAGUGGAGCUUGCUCCAUGAUUCAGCGGCGGACGGGUGAGUAAUGCCUAGGAAUCUGCCUGGUAGUGGGGGACAACGUUUCGAAAGGAACGCUAAUACCGCAUACGUCCUACGGGAGAAAGUGGGGGAUCUUCGGACCUCACGCUAUCAGAUGAGCCUAGGUCGGAUUAGCUAGUUGGUGAGGUAAAGGCUCACCAAGGCGACGAUCCGUAACUGGUCUGAGAGGAUGAUCAGUCACACUGGAACUGAGACACGGUCCAGACUCCUACGGGAGGCAGCAGUGGGGAAUAUUGGACAAUGGGCGAAAGCCUGAUCCAGCCAUGCCGCGUGUGUGAAGAAGGUCCUCGGAUUGUAAAGCACUUUAAGUUGGGAGGAAGGGCAGUAAGUUAAUACCUUGCUGUUUUGACGUUACCAACAGAAUAAGCACCGGCUAACUUCGUG